ACACACACACACAUAUUUUGGAACAAUGCUGGGAGUGCAGCCGCAGCAAACCCUCUGGGGGCAGGGGAGGAAGAUUCCUCUUAAGAAACAAAUGUCUGUGCCUUGUGCCCAAAAUAACCUAAAAAUGAAAACAGAAUCUACUUAGAAAAGAAGAGGAGAGAUUGUGAGAAAUAAGUGAGAGGAUUUAUUUUCAGAAAUACCAAAUAUAAGCUGAGUUGUCUAGUUAACAAUAGGUUUAGACCCUAUUGGAAAUAUAUAUGAACCCCUCACCCCAGCACAAUGGAGUCCCAAAUCUCCUUUGGGAGACCUUUCACUUCCUGGUUCUUCUACCCCUCUCCUUCUGCCGGCUUAUUUUUCGCACGCUUUGCAAUGAGCACGUGCCAAAGAACUGAGGUCUCUGCAUCACCUCAAGGAAUGUUCAUUUGUUCCAAUCAGAUUACUUUUUGGCCUUACAUGGGCAUAGGCGACUUCCAGGUAAGGCUGUAAUCUCUGUAGUACUUAGUCAAUGAGGAAUCAGGGGAACAACUUCAUGCUAGGAGAUAAAUUGCCUGCUGCAACUGCCCCGAGUGUGCCUGUCCAUCAGGCACCUGCUCUUGUAAGAAUGUUGAUUAAACCCUGGCCUCACUGUGCUCUGAGUCUCCGCGUCCCUUCUUUGAAUGGGCCAAUAGGCUUAUUUCUCACAAGGCCUGCAUAGGGCUCUGCACUGAUGGUGAGAGUUGGUUUGGGAUUCUCUCUUGAAAUAAAUAAGUGUAUAUAUAUAAAGUAGAAUUGACAAAGUCUGACUACUCCUUUGUACACAAAGGUAUUUUUAAUUUCAGUAACUCAAGUCAGUAACCAAACCGAAAGGCAACUUCUCUAUGGCUUGCUGAUUUCAUUCAUUCAACACUCACUCAGCCCUAAGGUCAGGCAUUGUCUUAGGCAUUCAAGAUGAAGGCCCUAUAAACUCUAAGAAGAAAAGCCACCUCCAGCCCCCAUUUAUAAAUUUAUAAAACAACCCAUUGAAAAAGUGUAUGAUUCAUUUGGCAUUGAUGGAAUUUUUACUCAUAUCUUAACGAUGUGAACUCCAGAGAAUUGUAAAAGAGUGCAGACCUAAAACAUAAUUUUCAUUAAGUUCGAAUGCUUGUUUGUGGAACUAAGGUUAUUAGACAUUGUGCUGUCUUUAUAUAAAGAUGUUGCCCUGUC
This is a long non-coding RNA of Leopardus geoffroyi (Geoffroy's cat), 1182 nucleotides long. RefSeq lists it as uncharacterized. NCBI's taxonomy places the organism in Eukaryota, Metazoa, Chordata, Mammalia, Carnivora, Felidae. The transcript is spliced from 2 exons. The record is from RefSeq and is a predicted model, not a curated record.